CGCGUAGGAACUACCCAGUAGUGGGGACGAACAGUUGGAAACGACUGCUAAUACCGCAUACGCUCUACGGAGGAAAGGGGGCGUUCGGCUCUCGCUAUUGGAUGUGCCUGCGUGAGAUUUAGCUAGUUGGUGGGGUAAAAGCCUACCAAGGCAACGAUCUCUAGCUGGUCUGAGAGGGACUGAUCAGCCACAUUGGGGACUGAGACACGGGCCCCAGACUCCUACGGGGAGGCAGCAGUGGGGAAUAUUGGACAAUGGGCGCAAGCCUGAUCCAGCCAUGCCGCGUGUGUGAAGAAGGCU
Molecule: ribosomal RNA, 300 nt
Filed under: uncultured Thalassolituus sp.
Lineage: Bacteria; Pseudomonadati; Pseudomonadota; Gammaproteobacteria; Oceanospirillales; Oceanospirillaceae
Description: bacterial SSU rRNA
Rfam family: Bacterial small subunit ribosomal RNA
Source: RNAcentral